UAGGGAAUCUUCGGCAAUGGGGGCAACCCUGACCGAGCAACGCCGCGUGAGUGAAGAAGGUUUUCGGAUCGUAAAGCUCUGUUGUAAGUCAAGAACGGGUGUGAGAGUGGAAAGUUCACACUGUGACGGUAGCUUACCAGAAAGGGACGGCUAACUACGUGCCAGCAGCCGCGGUAAUACGUAGGUCCCGAGCGUUGUCCGGAUUUAUUGGGCGUAAAGCGAGCGCAGGCGGUUUGAUA
Molecule: ribosomal RNA, 239 nt
Filed under: uncultured bacterium
Lineage: Bacteria
Description: partial 16S ribosomal RNA
Rfam family: Bacterial small subunit ribosomal RNA
Source: RNAcentral